UGGGAGGACCAUCUCCUAAGGCUAAAUACUCUCUAGUGACCGAUAGUGAACCAGUACCGUGAGGGAAAGGUGAAAAGCACCCCGGAAGGGGAGUGAAAUAGAACCUGAAACCGUGUGCUUACAAGUAGUCAGAGCCCGUUAAUGGGUGAUGGCGUGCCUUUUGUAGAAUGAACCGGCGAGUUACGAUUUGAUGCAAGGUUAAGCAGUAAAUGUGGAGCCGUAGCGAAAGCGAGUCUGAAUAGGGCGUUUAGUAUUUGGUCGUAGACCCGAAACCAGGUGAUCUACCCUUGGUCAGGUUGAAGUUCAGGUAACACUGAAUGGAGGACCGAACCGACUUACGUUGAAAAGUGAGCGGAUGAACUGAGGGUAGCGGAGAAAUUCCAAUCGAACCUGGAGAUAGCUGGUUCUCUCCGAAAUAGCUUUAGGGCUAGCCUCAAGUGAUGAUUAUUGGAGGUAGAGCACUGUUUGGACGAGGGGCCCCUCUCGGGUUACCGAAUUCAGACAAACUCCGAAUGCCAAUUAAUUUAACUUGGGAGUCAGAACAUGGGUGAUAAGGUCCAUGUUCGAAAGGGAAACAGCCCAGACCACCAGCUAAGGUCCCAAAAUAUAUGUUAAGUGGAAAAGGAUGUGGCGUUGCCCAGACAACUAGGAUGUUGGCUUAGAAGCAGCC
Molecule: ribosomal RNA, 670 nt
Filed under: Staphylococcus aureus
Lineage: Bacteria; Bacillati; Bacillota; Bacilli; Caryophanales; Staphylococcaceae
Description: partial 23S ribosomal RNA
Rfam family: Bacterial large subunit ribosomal RNA
Source: RNAcentral